AAGACCCCGUGAACCUUUACUAUAGCUUGACACUGAACACUGGUCCUUGAUGUGUAGGAUAGGUGGGAGGCUUUGAAGCGUGGACGCCAGUCUGCGUGGAGCCAACCUUGAAAUACCACCCUUUAAUGGCUGGUGUUCUAACGUAGACCCGUAAUCCGGGUUGCGGACAGUGUCUGGUGGGUAGUUUGACUGGGGCGGUCUCCUCCCAAAGAGUAACGGAGGAGCACGAAGGUUGGCUAAUCCUGGUC
RNAcentral lists this ribosomal RNA (248 nucleotides) under Enterobacter hormaechei. Its description in RNAcentral is "partial 23S ribosomal RNA". It matches the Rfam family "Bacterial large subunit ribosomal RNA", at positions 2085 to 2332 of the family's 2925-position model. Lineage: Bacteria; Pseudomonadati; Pseudomonadota; Gammaproteobacteria; Enterobacterales; Enterobacteriaceae. The record is from RNAcentral.